ACGCACGGUUUGUGCCGAAACCAGGAUAAGAUCAUUAGCAUGUAUCUGUUCUUGACACAAAAUCAUGCGCUACUUACCCUCCACGCAUCGCUGGAGCCAGAUGAAUAUAUACGACAACAAGACUUGAAGGUAGUAUGUACGUUUAGUGUAAUCAGGUGAGUAUAUAUGGGGUUCAUAAAAAAAUUAAAAAGGUAUUUAAACUCUAUAUUUCACACCUUAAUUUGUUGAAUUAAUUUUGAGCAAAGUCCCUCAAUGUCACUGAAAUUAUACCACUUCCCUCGUUGCUAUUGAAAUUCUUCAAUUCUGCAAAUACUUCAAUUUUCCAUUCCCU
RNAcentral lists this long non-coding RNA (331 nucleotides) under Setaria viridis. Its description in RNAcentral is "long non-coding RNA (SVIR_LNC008578)". The record is from RNAcentral. Lineage: Eukaryota; Viridiplantae; Streptophyta; Magnoliopsida; Poales; Poaceae.